UGUUGGUCAGGGGCAAAUAUUCAUUAGAGGCCUACUGAACAUUUCUUACUGUGGUGAGAAUGGUUAUUGAUCUGCGCCACCAGAGCUCUUUCUCAGACCAACAGCUGCAAGCCCCUUUAAAACUGCUUUUAUAAAAAGACCUCCAACUGCCAUUGGCGCUGGGACGACGCCUUUGUGCGAGGGGAGUUGCACAAUGCCGGCCGGGAGUGUGGUGGAAAGUUUAACGCCUCACCUCUCCCGCCCUGUUGUACUGAAAGCGACAACAAUUACAAUAAUAUGCACGUCAGCACCGUAUACCGGCUGGCGCCGACGUAUGACCGAGUUUCUGUAACAAGGGUUUAACAUGUUAAAUGUAUAAGCGUGAUCCCGACUUUUCGCUAUUUCCUUUCACACGGCUGUCGAUUCUAUUGCUCUGUUUCAACCCUCAACUGUUCACGCAGAACAAUAACAGCGGCGGGGGGGAAAAAAGUAUCCAGUCAUGGCCUUUAAGUGAAAUUUCUGUAUGGAAAUCAACAACAAUGGCCCACGCAAUCUAGACAGGUGGGCGAGAAGAGGGCCAUACACCUGUCAAUGAAAAGGAGGGAGGGGGUCGCAAGUGCUGAGUGAGCAUUAGCGCCUUCAUGUGACCUAUGGACUGCCCCGGUGCGCCCAAAGCCCAAAUCCGUCUCACAAUAGCUUCCUGUUCCACUUGGAUCACCCUUGUUUUCAAACAUCAGCAAACGCGGCAAGCCACUGGGGGCGUCGCUGACACAAGAGAAGCGGGGGUGCCCGGAAAAGUGGGAGGGCAGAAGUGAAAAUGUUAACUAUGGUCACUGAAACCCAGCACCGUGGACACAGCAGAGGCCGUCAUAUAAGACAAGGUGCACACCAAGGAACCUUCCAGCACCACAGGAGGAUUCGACCAACUCAUCAAGAGGACUUUUUUCCUCCCCGUUUUUUUCCCCAUCAGCAUACAAAUGGGAGGUACUCGCCCGGAGGACAGCGAGGGGGGUCACUGGGAUGGUCGAGCGCCGUCUGGACCGCGAGAAUUAGAAGGAGGGGGCAUCCCGUUCAGCCUUACAUGGCAACCAGAGGAAAGCCUCGAGCGUUGAAGUGAAUUUACACUCAAAGUCACCUUACGGUGCAGACUACCAUACUUGGGAGGGAAAGCGGCGAAGGAAAGCGUUCCGCUCGUAACUUCUCCGGCUUGGCCCGAAAGAAAGCAGUUACAAUCUGUGUGUCGGGACAAGACACGGACGGCGAGGCUGAAUGACAAAGUUGCGCUUGUGCCCAUUUCAAUCGAAUAUCACGUUCAAGGUCUGAAGAGAGAGAUAUCCCACAAUGCUUUGCUAAAGCUGGUAAAAUGGAACCAAAUCACCUCUUGAAUGGAUUUGGUCCCCUUCAACCAGCUGUAGCUAUGCUUUGAUGACUGCAGGGAUUCGACUGAGGUGUUGCUCUUCAAACGACCGCCUACGAUUGCCGUGUUCCAUGUCUCGCUUGAAAAGAACAAUAAAGUCACUGCAUCAAACUUUUUUUUUGGCCCCAGUCCCCCUUUUUGGUAUUCCGAGCACGCCGGUCGGUGGUCAGCUUUACAAAAUAGCAGGGCCAGAAGAGACCGCUCGCCGCUCUCGCUCAGUCGCCUCCUCAAAUGACAGUCGCCGGUCGGGGAGCUGGCGGUUAAUGCGGCUUGGCAGGGGUGUGACGCUAAUGUAAAACAAGCUAAAUGGCUCUGCAAAUAUAGAGAUGCUAGCACCUGACCAAAACAUACUGUUCAAAACUAGCCAUUAAAAAAGUAACAUACUGGGUCCCACAUUGAACAUACUAGGUAAGAGACAACAAGUGUACAGUAACUGCUUUAAAAGAUUGACAGUUAAAUUACAAUUAUGAUUAAUUGAGCCUGAGCAAAUGAAUUCACUUCACAUAAUCAGAUUGGCCUAUUGUAAAAUGUACAAGCGAGAAUGUGACCAAUCCAAACAGCAGUAGUGUCGCAACACCUGCUUCAGUUUGCCAUCCUUGUUAUGACACGACCGUGGCGCCACUAACUUGACAGCCGCUAGCUCCCAUAGAGGCAGCAGAGUCAUUACCAUAUGUUAAAAGAAACAGUGACCGUUACAAUUACAGGGCGCAAACAUUACACAGGGAGGUGACGUGCUCAAAUGGGACGGAGCGACCAAUGCGGGGGUUUGUUUGGAGCCCCCCACCCGCUCAUCUCAACCUUUAUGAGUCAUGGGCUAUUAAUCUGUAAACUGUUUACAGUUUUAGAGCAGGUAGUGACUUCCAGCAGCCCGAGGGGAAAAAGACACAGAGAUGAGCCAGGCUGAGAUGGCGGUAAACACACUCGGUGGAAAGAAAUCUGCUGUCCAAAAACACACACACAGCGCGCUGCCUGCGAUGUACGCGCUAUACUACUGUAUAUUUCCCUUAUGGUUACCGACAACUGUAAAACAUGACAGCACGAUGCAUCAAGACGCAGACAGGCAGCAGCGUGUCAGGAGGGAGCAGGGUGGAACCGAACAAAGCCUCAUUAUUCUUUUUUAUUUAACACUUGCCUGUUAUGAAUGUCAAAACAUGACUGAAAAUGCUGACUGUGCAGUUAAUAAAGGUUUGACUCUGAAACGAA
Long non-coding RNA from Syngnathus acus (greater pipefish), 2599 nucleotides. RefSeq lists it as uncharacterized. The transcript has 2 exons. The record is from RefSeq and is a predicted model, not a curated record. NCBI's taxonomy places the organism in Eukaryota, Metazoa, Chordata, Actinopteri, Syngnathiformes, Syngnathidae.